Molecule: transfer RNA, 139 nt
Filed under: Candidatus Dormiibacterota bacterium
Lineage: Bacteria; Bacillati; Candidatus Dormiibacterota
Description: tRNA-Ser
Source: RNAcentral
GGAGUGGAAGUCGAGUUCGAGUCGAAUUGAAGUUGAGGGGCAUACAUUUCCCAAAAUGAGGCGGUUUCGGGAGUCCGCACUGGAAAUGCCGUAACCGGCGUCACCCGGUUCGCGAGUUCGAAUCUCGCCCGCUCCGCCA